RNAcentral lists this ribosomal RNA (216 nucleotides) under Glomeromycotina sp. RNAcentral's name for it is "partial small subunit ribosomal RNA". The stretch from base 40 to 216 matches the Rfam family "Eukaryotic small subunit ribosomal RNA", at positions 686 to 864 of the family's 1831-position model. The record is from RNAcentral. Lineage: Eukaryota; Fungi; Glomeromycota.
GGGUCAGUAGGUUGGUCGUGCCACCGGUACGUACUGGUCUCACUGAUUCCUCCUUCCUGAAGAACCGUAAUGCUAUUAAUUUGGUGUUGCGGGGAAACAGGACUGUUACUUUGAAAAAAUUAGAGCGUUUAAAGCAAGCUAACGCUUGAAUACAUUAGCAUGGAAUAAUGAAAUAGGACGAUCGAUCCUAUUUUGUUGGUUUCUAGGAUUGACGUA